Molecule: ribosomal RNA, 497 nt
Filed under: uncultured bacterium
Lineage: Bacteria
Description: partial 16S ribosomal RNA
Rfam family: Bacterial small subunit ribosomal RNA
Source: RNAcentral
GAUGAACGCUGGCGGCGUGCCUAAUACAUGCAAGUCGAGCGAACGGACGAGAAGCUUGCUUCUCUGAUGUUAGCGGCGGACGGGUGAGUAACACGUGGAUAACCUACCUAUAAGACUGGGAUAACUUCGGGAAACCGUAGCUAAUACCGGAUAAUAUUUUGAACCGCAUGGUUCAAAAGUGAAAGACGGUCUUGCUGUCACUUAUAGAUGGAUCCGCGCUGCAUUAGCUAGUUGAUAAGGUAACGGCUUACCAAGGCAACGAUGCAUAGCCGACCUGAGAGGGUGAUCGGCCACACUGGAACUGAGACACGGUCCAGACUCCUAAGGGAGGCAGGAGUAGGGAAUCUUCCGCAAUGGGCGAAAGCCUGACGGAGCAACGCCGGGUGGGGGAUGAAGGUCUUCGGAUCGUAAAACUUUGUUAUUAGGGAAGAACAAAUGUGUAAGUAACUAGGCACGUCUUGACGGUACCUAAUCAGAAAGCCACGGCUAACUACGUG